GAUGAACGCUAGCGAUAGGCUUAACACAUGCAAGUCGAGGGGCAGCAUGGUCUUAGCUUGCUAAGGCUGAUGGCGACCGGCGCACGGGUGCGUAACGCGUAUGCAACUUGCCUCACAGAGGGGGAUAACCCGUCGAAAGACGGACUAAUACCGCGUACACUCUAUGUUGGGCAUCCAAUGUAGAGGAAAUGAAAUUCGCUGUGAGAUAGGCAUGCGUCCCAUUAGCUAGUUGGUGAGGUAACGGCUCACCAAGGCGACGAUGGGUAGGGGAACUGAGAGGUUGACCCCCCACACUGGUACUGAGACACGGACCAGACUCCUACGGGAGGCAGCAGUGAGGAAUAUUGGUCAAUGGGCGAGAGCCUGAACCAGCCAAGUCGCGUGAAGGAUGACUGUCUUAUGGAUUGUAAACUUCUUUUAUACGGGAAUAACAAGAGUCACGUGUGGCUCCCUGCAUGUACCGUAUGAAUAAGCAUCGGCUAACUCCGUG
This 490-nucleotide ribosomal RNA is filed under the name uncultured bacterium. RNAcentral describes it as "partial 16S ribosomal RNA". It matches the Rfam family "Bacterial small subunit ribosomal RNA", at positions 28 to 507 of the family's 1533-position model. The record is from RNAcentral.